UGAGCAUGGAAAUUAUUUCAUAAAUACCUCACCAAGUCCUUGUUCAUAUAAAACAUCUCUCCAAUCAAUUGGUCUCUCCAACCUUACCACAUUUGAGAUCUCCAACCCCCUCUUCCUCUUCAUUUAUAAAAACUAUAAAAGGGCGGUUGUCGAUGCAUAUGUCUAUAAUAAAUAUUGCAGAUAUCGUUGAGUUAAUCUUG
RNAcentral lists this long non-coding RNA (200 nucleotides) under Sorghum bicolor (sorghum). RNAcentral describes it as "long non-coding RNA (SBIC_LNC017071)". The record is from RNAcentral. Lineage: Eukaryota; Viridiplantae; Streptophyta; Magnoliopsida; Poales; Poaceae.